Molecule: ribosomal RNA, 1196 nt
Filed under: uncultured Streptococcus sp.
Lineage: Bacteria; Bacillati; Bacillota; Bacilli; Lactobacillales; Streptococcaceae
Description: bacterial SSU rRNA
Rfam family: Bacterial small subunit ribosomal RNA (bases 1-873)
Source: RNAcentral
GACGAACGCUGGCGGCGUGCUUAACACAUGCAAGUCGAACGAAAAGAGGGAAAGAGCUUGCUCUUUCCGGAAUUGAGUGGCAAACGGGUGAGUAACACGUAAACAACCUGCCUUCAGGAUGGGGACAACAGACGGAAACGACUGCUAAUACCGAAUAAGUUCCAAGAGCCGCAUGGCCCAUGGAAGAAAAGGUGGCCUCUACCUGUAAGCUAUCGCCUGAAGAGGGGUUUGCGUCUGAUUAGCUGGUUGGAGGGGUAACGGCCCACCAAGGCGACGAUCAGUAGCCGGUCUGAGAGGACGAUCCGCCACACUGGGACUGAGACACGGCCCAGACUCCUACGGGAGGCAGCAGUGGGGAAUUUUGGACAAUGGGGGCAACCCUGAUCCAGCCAUGCCGCGUGUAUGAAGAAGGCCUUCGGGUUGUAAAGUACUUUUGUUAGGGAAGAAAAGGGAAGUGCUAAUACCACUUUUUGCUGACGGUACCUAAAGAAUAAGCACCGGCUAACUACGUGCCAGCAGCCGCGGUAAUACGUAGGGUGCGAGCGUUAAUCGGAAUUACUGGGCGUAAAGCGAGCGCAGACGGUUAUUUAAGCAGGAUGUGAAAUCCCCGGGCUUAACCUGGGAACUGCGUUCUGAACUGGAUAGCUAGAGUGUGUCAGAGGGGGGUAGAAUUCCACGUGUAGCAUUGAGAUGCGGUAGAGAUGUGGAGGAAUACCGAUGGUGAGGCAGCCCCCUGGGGAUAACACUGUCGGUCAUGCUCAAAAGCGUGGUGUGGCAAUCAGUAUUGAUACCCUGGUAGUCCGAUGGGCGAUUCUGUGGUGAUAUCAGCUUAUUGAUUCUGUGACUCGAUGAAAAAUAACGAGAUCCAUCUUUUUCCUUAUGUGGGGGUGAAUUAGUAUCUGUUUGUGUGUUGUGUGUUUGUUGAUGUGGUGCGUGCGUUUUGUGUUGUGUGUUUAUGUUGCAUGUGACUUUUGUUGCUGUUUUGUGUCGUCCUGUGUAUGUAUGUGUGUGUCUGUUUCAUGAUGUUGUCCUGUGUGUGUGUGUGUGUUGUGUUUCCGCGUGUGCUUGCUGUUGAUUAUGUGCGAUUUGGUGUUGUGACUGCUGUGUGUGUCGUGAUGUAUUCUCUUGUCUUGAUCGAUGCCUGUGUAUGAAUGUCUGACUCUAUAGCUGUAUGUCGGCUCGUGUGUACUUCAUUG